This 167-nucleotide unclassified non-coding RNA is filed under the name Ixodes scapularis (black-legged tick). RNAcentral's name for it is "gastrula zinc finger protein XlCGF49.1-like, transcript variant X1". Lineage: Eukaryota; Metazoa; Arthropoda; Arachnida; Ixodida; Ixodidae. The record is from RNAcentral.
CCAAUCUUGUGGUGUCCACAGAACUAACAACACCAGACUGCAUCGGAGCAUGCUAUGGCGACAAAGUGGAUACCUUUGACCGUAACUGCCGCAGAGGUGACACCUCUCCCCAGACCAACAAUUCUGGCCCACACAAGCAGCAGACGCACCGACGACCGAAGAAGCAC